GUUUUUAUGGUGUAACCCAACACAUUGCAUUUUCGUUGCAAAACUGAAACUCCUAUUUCUAAAAACU
RNAcentral lists this transfer RNA (67 nucleotides) under Tubuca rosea. RNAcentral describes it as "tRNA-Glu". Lineage: Eukaryota; Metazoa; Arthropoda; Malacostraca; Decapoda; Ocypodidae. The record is from RNAcentral.